This 467-nucleotide ribosomal RNA is filed under the name uncultured bacterium. RNAcentral's name for it is "partial 16S ribosomal RNA". It matches the Rfam family "Bacterial small subunit ribosomal RNA", at positions 28 to 506 of the family's 1533-position model. The record is from RNAcentral.
GACGAACGCUGGCGGCGUGCUUAACACAUGCAAGUCGAACGGAAAGGCCCUGCUUUUGUGGGGUGCUCGAGUGGCGAACGGGUGUGUAACACGUGAGUAACCUGCCCUUGACUUUGGGAUAACUUCAGGAAACUGGGGCUAAUACCGGAUAGGAUCCCCCGCUGCAUGGUGGGGGGUGGAAAGUCUCGGGGGUUGGGGAUGGACUCGCGGCUUCUGCGUUUGUUGGUGGGGUAGGGGUUUCCAAGGGCUUUGGCGGGUGCCGGGCCUGAGAGGGUGACGGGCCACAGUGGGACUGAGAUGCGGCCCAGACCCAUGCGGGGGGGAGGAGGGGAGAAUAUUGCACAAUGGGCGGAAGCCAGGCGGAGCAGCCCCGCGUGGGGGAAGACGGCCUUGGGGUUGUAAACCGCUUUCGCCUGUGACGAAGCGUGGGGAACGGUAAUGGGAAAGAAAGCACCGGCUAACUAGGG